GAUGAACGCUGGCGGCGUGCCUAAUACAUGCAAGUCGAGCGAACAGAUGAGGAGCUUGCUCCUCUGACGUUAGCGGCGGACGGGUGAGUAACACGUGGAUAACCUACCUAUAAGACUGGGAUAACUUCGGGAAACCGGAGCUAAUACCGGAUAAUAUAUUGAACCGCAUGGUUCAAUAGUGAAAGACGGUUUUGCUGUCACUUAUAGAUGGAUCCGCGCCGCAUUAGCUAGUUGGUAAGGUAACGGCUUACCAAGGCAACGAUGCGUAGCUGACCUGAGAGGGUGAUCGGCCACACUGGAACUGAGACACGGUCCAGACUCCUACGGGAGGCAGCAGUAGGGAAUCUUCCGCAAUGGGCGAAAGCCUGACGGAGCAACGCCGCGUGAGUGAUGAAGGUCUUCGGAUCGUAAAACUCUGUUAUUAGGGAAGAACAAAUGUGUAAGUAACUAUGCACGUCUUGACGGUACCUAAUCAGAAAGCGACGGCUAACUACGUG
This 497-nucleotide ribosomal RNA is filed under the name uncultured bacterium. Its description in RNAcentral is "partial 16S ribosomal RNA". It matches the Rfam family "Bacterial small subunit ribosomal RNA", at positions 28 to 507 of the family's 1533-position model. The record is from RNAcentral.